This 1535-nucleotide long non-coding RNA is filed under the name Capra hircus (goat). Its description in RNAcentral is "lncRNA (ENSCHIG00010006443.1)". Lineage: Eukaryota; Metazoa; Chordata; Mammalia; Artiodactyla; Bovidae. The record is from RNAcentral.
AAUAUCAAAUCACUAUAUUAUAUAACAGGAAUUAACACAAUGUUGCAGGUCAACUGUAUUUCAAAAACAAAUUAUAGAGGGCUUCCCUGGCGGUUCAGUGGUAAAGAAUCUGCCUGCCAAUGCAGGAGGCAUGGGUUUGCUCCCUGAUCUAGGAAAAUGCCACGUGCUUCAGAGCAACUAAGCUCAUGUACCACAACUACUGAGCCUGUGCUCUAGACCCCAGGAACUGCAACUACUGAAGCCCCCAUGCCCUAGACCGCCUGCUCUGCAACAAGAGAAGCCGUCGGAUGAGAAGCCUGCGCACCAAAGUAGAGAGUAGACCCUCACUCACCACAACUAGAGAAGAGCUUGUGCAGUAAUGAAGACCCAGCACAGUCUAGCGAAUAAUAAAAUUAUUUUCAGAUCAGAUUUGUGAUUACCAGAAAGUGAGGGCUUGAGAGAGGGAAAACUGGAUGAAGGCAAUCAAAAGGCACAAAUUUCCAGGUAUAAGAUAAAUAAGUACUAGGAAUGUAAUGUGUAAAUGAUAAACAUAAUUAACACUGCAUGUGUUAUAUAUAAAAAUUAAGAGCAAAUUCUAAGGGUUCUCAUAAUAAGAAAACAUUUUUUCCAAUUUCUUUAAUUUUGUAUCUAUAUUAAAUGGCAAAUGAUCACUAAAUUUCACUGUGAUAAUCAUUUCAUGAAGUAUGCAAGUCAAAUCAUUAUACUGCGCACCUUAAACAUACAAUGCUGUACGUCAACCACACCUCAAUAAAACUGGAAGGGAAAAAAGAGAGAAAAUAUACAUGCAUAUACUUUCACCCAACAUUUGCACUUCUAAGAGUGUAUUAUAAGGAAAUAGAAUAUACACAGAAUUUAUGACAGAGAUAUUCACUAUAAAAUUAUUCAAAAAAAGAAAACAAUCUAAAGGGCUCACAAUCAAUAAUUAGUUAAAUAAUUUAUUUAUAUAAAUUUAUAUUAUUUUUAACUUUUCAUUUUAAAAUAAUUUUAGACUUACUAAAAGGUGUGCUGUGAUUCAUGGGGUCGGAAAUAGUCGGACACAGUGGAGCGACUGAACUGAACUGAACUGAACUGAAAAGGUGUUUGGCAGUGCAAAGAGGUCUUUAUAAUAACUUUGGAACAAAUUCAAACUGAAUUCAUAAAACCUAGAAAGGCAUUUUGGUGGGUGCUUUCUAAGUAGCUAGGGGGAUUUGUCGACCAAUUCUGAAAGUCUUUUGUGGGGAGAAUAUGGACUAGGUACACUUCUGUGCAGUCUGAGAAAUUCAAAAGUCAUGUUGACUUUGACCAGGCUAAUGUAGAACUGUGAGCUCCCUAUUGCUGAUAGCUUGAUUACAGAUUGCAAUACUAAUUCUCCAUUCCCUAUGGAUGGUACUACCUGUAGAGGAAAGUUAGAGAAACAUAAAAGAUCGAAAUAACAUUCAGAUAGAAAGAAAUUUUGAAAAGUACAAACCAGUGACAGUCAAGUUUCAAGAAAAUUCUAUGACUGAUUGCUAAUCAGAAUUUAGAAGAUUUUAGUAAUGUAGACAGCUACAUCAUGA